GACGGAGGGCACCACCAGAUGUGGAGCCUGCGGCUUAAUUUGACUCAACACGGGAAAACUUACCAGGUCCAGACAUAGUCAGGAUUGACAGAUUGAAGUUCUUUCAUGAUUCUAUGCAUGGUGGUGCAUGGCCGUUCUUAGUUGGUGGAUGUGAUCUGUCAGGUUAAUUCCGAUAACGAACGAGACCCCAGCCAUCUAACUAGCUGUAACUACUUCGGUAGUGUUUGCGCAAGCAUGAACAGCUUCUUAGAGGGACUAUCUGUGUCAGCAGGUGGAAGUUUGGGGCAAUAACAGGUCAGUGAUGCCCUUAGAUGCUCUGGGCUGCACGCGCGCUACAAUGGUGCAUUCAGCGAGUUUAACCUUGCUUGAAAAAGCUGGGUAAUCUUUAAAAUGCAUCNCANUUGGGAUAGAUGAUUGCAAUUAUUCAUCUUGAACAAGGAAUAUCUAGUAANCGCAAGUCAUCAACUUGCAUUGAUUAC
This 479-nucleotide ribosomal RNA is filed under the name Haplosporidium echinogammari. RNAcentral describes it as "SSU rRNA". It matches the Rfam family "Eukaryotic small subunit ribosomal RNA", at positions 1155 to 1648 of the family's 1831-position model. Lineage: Eukaryota; Endomyxa; Ascetosporea; Haplosporida; Haplosporidiidae. The record is from RNAcentral.